AAAUUUAAGUCGGAUGUAUUUCUUAUGUCAACUAAUUAUCUUCAAAAGAGAUUAAAGCUGAGUAAACAUACUUGUUUGUAUAACAGAUAAAAUGCCAUGUUUAUGUCGACCGCUAAUUAACACCUUUGUUGAUAGUUCAAGCGAAAUGUUAGUGUGUUGAACAUUUUUCACCUGAGAUAAAAACGAAACGAAUUUUAAUGACCUAAGC
RNAcentral lists this long non-coding RNA (208 nucleotides) under Mytilus galloprovincialis (Mediterranean mussel). Lineage: Eukaryota; Metazoa; Mollusca; Bivalvia; Mytilida; Mytilidae. The record is from RNAcentral.